Molecule: ribosomal RNA, 483 nt
Filed under: uncultured Pelotomaculum sp.
Lineage: Bacteria; Bacillati; Bacillota; Clostridia; Eubacteriales; Desulfotomaculaceae
Description: bacterial SSU rRNA
Rfam family: Bacterial small subunit ribosomal RNA
Source: RNAcentral
CUUAAAUGAAUUGACGGGGCCGCACAAGCGGUGGAGCAUGUGGUUAAUUCGACGCAACGCGAAGAACCUUACCAGGGCUUGACAUCCCCUGACCGCGUAUGAAAGUACGUUUUCACCCUCGGGUGACAGGGAGAUAGGUGGUGCAUGGUUGUCGUCAGCUCGUGUCGUGAGAUGUUGGGUUAAGUCCCGCAACGAGCGCAACCCCUACGUUUAGUUGCUAACGCGUGAAGGCGAGCACUCUAGACGAACUGCCGUUGACAAAACGGAGGAAGGUGGGGAUGACGUCAAAUCAUCAUGCCCCUUAUGUUCUGGGCUACACACGUGCUACAAUGGCCGGUACAGACGGACGCAAAGCCGCGAGGUGGAGCAAAUCCUAAAAAGCCGGUCUCAGUUCGGAUUGCAGGCUGCAAUUCGCCUGCAUGAAGUCGGAAUCGCUAGUAAUCGCAGGUCAGCAUACUGCGGUCGAAUACGUUCCCGGGCCUU